This 442-nucleotide ribosomal RNA is filed under the name uncultured bacterium. Its description in RNAcentral is "SSU rRNA". It matches the Rfam family "Bacterial small subunit ribosomal RNA", at positions 26 to 518 of the family's 1533-position model. The record is from RNAcentral.
AGAGCGAACGCUGGCGGCAGGCCUAAUACAUGCAAGUCGAACGGACCCUUCGGGGUUAGUGGCGGACGGGUGAGUAACACGUGGGAACGUGCCCUUUGGUUCGGAACAACUCAGGGAAACUUGAGCUAAUACCGGAUGUGCCCUUCGGGGGAAAGAUUUAUCGCCAUUGGAGCGGCCCGCGUCUGAUUAGCUAGUUGGUGGGGUAAAGCCCACCAAGGCUACGAUCAGUAGCUGGUCUGAGAGGAUGAUCAGCCACACUGGGACUGAGACACGGCCCAGACUCCUACGGGAGGCAGCAGUAGGGAAUCUUGCGCAAUGGGCGAAAGCCUGACGCAGCCAUGCCGCGUGAAUGAUGAAGGUCUUAGGAUUGUAAAAUUCUUCAGCGGGGACGAUAAUGACGGUACCGCAGAAGAGCCCGGCUAACUUCGUGCCAGCAGCCGAC